This 435-nucleotide ribosomal RNA is filed under the name uncultured bacterium. Its description in RNAcentral is "partial 16S ribosomal RNA". It matches the Rfam family "Bacterial small subunit ribosomal RNA", at positions 28 to 507 of the family's 1533-position model. The record is from RNAcentral.
GAUGAACGCUGGCGGUAUGCUUAACACAUGCAAGUCGAACGGACUCUUCGGAGUUAGUGGCGGACGGGUGAGUAACGCGUGAGAAUCUGGCUUUGGGUUCGGGACAACCACUGGAAACGGUGGCUAAUACCGGAUGUGCCGAGAGGUAAAAGAGAAAUUGCCUGAAGAUGAGCUCGCGUCUGAUUAGCUAGUUGGUGAGGUAAAGGCUCACCAAGGCAGCGAACAGUAGCUGGUCUGAGAGGAUGACCAGCCACACUGGGACUGAGACACGGCCCAGACUCCUACGGGAGGCAGCAGUGGGGAAUUUUCCGCAAUGGGCGAAAGCCUGACGGAGCAAUACCGCGUGAGGGAAGAAGGCUCUUGGGUUGUAAACCUCUUUUCUUAGGGAAGAACAAAAUGACGGUACCUAAGGAAUCAGCAUCGGCUAACUCCGUG